Molecule: ribosomal RNA, 440 nt
Filed under: uncultured bacterium
Lineage: Bacteria
Description: partial 16S ribosomal RNA
Rfam family: Bacterial small subunit ribosomal RNA
Source: RNAcentral
CCUACGGGGGGCAGCAGUGGGGAAUAUUGCACAAUGGGGGCAACCCUGAUGCAGCGACGCCGCGUGAGUGAAGAAGUAUUUCGUUAUGUAAAGCUCUAUCAGCAGGGAAGAAAAUGACGGUACCUGAGUAUGAAGCCCCGGCUAACUACGUGCCAGCAGCCGCGGUAAUACGUAGGGGGCAAGCGUUAUCCGGAUUUACUGGGUGUAAAGGGAGCGUAGACGGCAGUGCAAGUCUGGAGUGAAAGGCGGGGGCUCAACCCCGGGGCUGCAUUGGGAACUGCUAGGCUGGAGUGCAGGAGAGGCAGGCGGAAUUCCUAGUGUAGCGGUGAAAUGCGUAGAUAUUAGGAGGAACACCAGUGGCGAAGGCGGCUUGCUGGACGGCGACUGACGCUGAGGCUCGAAAGCGUGGGGAGCAAACAGGAUUAGAUACCCCGGUAGUC